CUAUCGUACUUGUCUGAAGCCAGAGGUGGCCAUUUUGGAUUCGGGCGGAAAUGAACUCAAAACCAACCGGCUAAAAACCCAAACAUUAAAACUAGGACACCGGUGCGGUCGAGCUAAAAACACACGCAGACAGGUUUCUUUGCAGCCAGAGUAGGCUGCUGGGAGCAGGCGUGAGGCAGGGGCUUCCCUGGCGCCCACACCUAAAGAUGCCCCGGACCGGAGCAUCACCUGGGCGGCCGCUCUAGCUCGGUUCCGGGUUCGCGCACCUCGGUGGUGGCGUCGGAGGAACUGAAGGCCGGUCUGUUGACCCGUUUCCGGGCCCUUCUCGUGCGGUCUGAGCCCGGUCCUCGGGAGACUGUGGGUGGAGGGGCCUAGGCCUGCGAGUCGGAGCCAGCCGCCAGCCUGCUCCCGCCGCCCGCAGAUCUGUUUGAUUUGAGGAGGAACUGCAGUACUGUCUCCCUGCAAGAGGGAUGGGAUCAGAGAACAGUGCUUUAAAGAGCUAUACACUGAGAGACUCGCCAUUUACCUUGCCCUCUGGACUUGCUGUUUAUCCCGCCAUACUGCAAGAUGGGAAAUGCGCCUCAGUGUUCGUAUAUAAGAGAGAGAACGAAGACAAGGUUAACAAAGCAGCCAAGCACUUAAAGACCCUUCGUCACCCUUGCUUGCUAAGAUUUUUAUCUUGUACUGUGGAAGCAGAUGGCAUUCAUCUCGUCACUGAGAGAGUGCAGCCUUUGGAAGUGGCAUUGGAAACCCUGUCUCCUGCAGAAGUCUGUGCUGGAAUCUAUGACAUAUUGCUGGCUCUUAUCUUCCUUCAUGACAGAGGACAUCUGACACACAACAAUGUCUGCUUAUCAUCUGUUUUUGUGAGUGAAGAUGGGCACUGGAAGCUUGGAGGCAUGGAAACAGUGUGCAAAGUUCCUCAGGCCACACCAGAGUUUCUCAGAAGUAUCCACUCAGUAAGGGACCCAGCAUCUAUUCCUCCUGAGGAGAUGUCUCCAGAAUUUGCAGCCCUUCCAGAGGCCCAUGGACAUGCCCGGGAUGCCUAUUCCUUCGGUACUUUGGUGGACAGCUUGCUCCCCAUCUUGAAUAAGCAGGUUUCAGCGGAUGUUCUCUCCAGCUUCCUACAGACCUUGCACUCAGCUCUGCUGAAUCCUAUGCCAAAGUGUCGGCCAGCGCUCAGCACCUUACUGUCCCAUGAUUUCUUCAGAAAUGACUUUCUAGAAGUUGUGAAUUUCUUGAGAAGCUUGACAUUAAAGAGUGAAGAUGAAAAAACUGAAUUUUUCAAAUUUCUGCUGGACAGAGUGAGCUGCUUGUCAGAAGAAUUAAUAGCUUCAAGAUUGGUGCCUCUUUUGCUUAACCAGUUGGUGUUUGCUGAGCCAGUGGCUGUUAAGAGUUUUCUUCCCUAUCUCCUUGGCCCUAAAAAAGAGAAUGCAGGAGAGACUCCUUGCUUGCUCUCGCCAGCACUGUUCCAGUCACGGGUGAUCCCUGUGCUUCUCCAGCUGUUCGAGGUCCAUGAGGAGCAUGUGAGGAUGGUGUUACUGUCCCACAUCGAAGCCUACGUGGAGCACUUCACUCAGGAACAGCUGAAGAAAGUCAUCUUGCCACAGGUAUUGCUGGGCCUUCGUGAUACCAGCAAUUCCAUUGUGGCAAUUACUCUUCGUAGCCUGGCGGUGUUGGUAUCUCUGCUUGGACCAGAAGUGGUUGUGGGAGGAGAAAGAACCAAGAUCUUUAAGCGCACUGCUCCAAGUUUUACCAAAACUAGUGACCUUUCCCCUGAAGGUUCUCCCAUGCAUGUUGUCUGCAGCCAGCAGAGUCAGAUCUCACAAGUCUUGGAGAACCCCUCUUCUAACGCAUUCCCUAAAUGGCUGUUUUCUGGCAACAUGCCCAUCAACAGCAAGAAGCACAUACAGGAAGAGUGUUACAGUACUCUUUUACAAACAGGUGAUCAGUUUUCUCACUCUAUUAAACUCCCUAUGAAUGGAAUCUCAGAUGUGAAAAACACUUCAGAGGACAAUGGAAACUUCCCAGCAGGUUCUGGUAGUAAGCCUGAAGAGUGGCCUGACUGGAGUGAGCCUGAGGAGCCUGAACACCAAACUGCCAAUACUCACAUACGGUCCCAAGAACCCUGUGAUGUAGCAGAGUCCCGGCACACAAAUCUGAACACAGAGGAGUCGUCCUGGGACGACUGUGAGUCUAGCUUUGGUACUGAAGGAAACACAGUGGCUGGAGCCUCUGCUGCCAUGUCUGUUACCUCAGGGGAGCAGAAGCUUACUGCAGCUUUGCUUCCUCUCACUCAGGAGUCUAAGCCUUUGAAAUCUAGUCCUUCCUCAAAGACCAAUCAUAUACAGCAUGGGGAAGUCAAACCACCAGAUGGAGCCCAAGAACAACCACUUAAGGUUCGGUCAGAACUUGGUUUAGGAGAAGAGUUUACCAUACAAGUCAAAAAGAAGCCAGUACAAGAUCCUGAGUUGGACUGGUUUGCAGAUAUGAUCCCAGAAAUUAAGCCUUCAGGUACUUUGCUUAUUUUCCCUGAACUGAGGACAGAAGUGAUGGUCCCUGACAAGGAUAACAUCUCACCAGUGAUGCAGUUUUCCUCAAAAUUUGCUGCAACAGAAAUGACUGAGGGAGAGGCAGACGGCUGGGAAGAAGAAGAGCUGAGCUGGGAAGAUAACAACUGGUGACUAUGAGGAAGAGCUUAAACUUCAGGAAUAAUUCUAAAAGAAAAGAAGUAAUACCUCAGAGCAAGCUGCACGGAUGCAAAACCCCAAAGCAGCUUGUGUUCCCCGUACCAGAAGCUCUUUUUGCAGUCUGUGCCAACUCAAGCUGAGACCAACCUCCAGUUGCUGACUAAGCCCUGGGUGGCAGAAAGCUCAGUGCCGGAUUCUAGGAAGAAGAGCCUGUGUGCACUUGACCGAGGCCAGUUCCCAUGCAAAAUACCGAGCGCCAGGACGGGCCGGGGAGCCCAGGCCUGGCAUCUCCCCUACUUGGCAGCAAGAACGGCCUAUGGAAAAACGAAGGGACAAACUAAGGCAUGAGAACGCCAGUCGUCUUCAAAAGUUCCGAUCGCAAUCGUCCGACCAUACCAGGCGGGCCUAGGCCCUGCACCCACUGUUGUCCUCGCUCCCUCCAGCGCCACCCCGUAAAGGAAUAGGGUUCGAGCCCGGCCACACGCCGCCCGCUUGGGUAAGGCAGGAGGCGGCUUGCCGCGGCCCGCCCCCCAGCGUCCUCCAAGGAUAUGAGGAGCCGAGGCAGCGCCGAAGGCAGUUCCCGGCGGCAGUCCUCUCGAGACCAGCUGCUGAAUGUCUCCAGCACGACCCGGUUCGC
RNA transcript from Peromyscus californicus insignis, 3324 nucleotides. It is a transcript of the gene named SCY1 like pseudokinase 3, with no coding region annotated. Lineage: Eukaryota; Metazoa; Chordata; Mammalia; Rodentia; Cricetidae. The record is from RefSeq and is a predicted model, not a curated record. The transcript is spliced from 15 exons.